Molecule: long non-coding RNA, 764 nt
Organism: Rhagoletis pomonella (apple maggot)
Lineage: Eukaryota; Metazoa; Arthropoda; Insecta; Diptera; Tephritidae
Exons: 3
Source: RefSeq, a predicted model, not a curated record
UGCCGUUUUGGUUACUUUUAACCAAUUUUGGUUAUUUUUUUCUUGCCUGUGAAGUUGUUAAUAUCUUUCCCAUUUUGGUUAUUUUUAACAUUUACUGUAGUUUCUAAUUUUUGUAUACAUACAAUAAUUAAAUCUUUGAAAAAUAGUGUAAACAAAUACAUUUAUUCUGCUCAAUAUUGGUUAUUUAACUAAAGUUAUUACUACUAAAAUGGCAACUCAAGAUUCGACUUAUUCCGAUAAUAAUCAUGUGUUUACAUAUGCAAAAGAACAUGUAAAAGUUCGAGGGUGCAACUAUUAUCGGGUCCAAAGAACGUAAAUCUAUAAGAAGAGACAACACGUUAUAAUUGUAACGAGUCAUUUCUUGUCGGGUCGUAUCUUUAAUAAAUCGCGGUGAAUUAAUCGCCAAGCUUUUGAAACGGCCCCGUAGUUACACCGUUUCUUUGUUCUUUGCACACACCUACAUAAUAUGUAUGUGCCUGAAAUGACAUUUGAGUAAUAUGAGAGUCAUUAAAAAGCCGCGAAAAAUUAUUAGAAUUCCGCGCAAAAUUGGUGUUUCAAGUUAAUUUAUACGGGCUCAAUUCUAUGGAUAAGUUCGUUAUAAGACAUAGGCCAGCAACACCUGUCGAGGUUGAGGAGAGUAGCAGCAGCAGUGGCAGCCCCAGCAGUGAAACCAAAAUACAGAAUAUACAUGGUCGCCUAAAGACUACUUCAAAUGAAUACAUACUCAGAUAGUACAUAUAUAAAUACCUCGUAUAUGCGGAAUC